RNAcentral lists this long non-coding RNA (1197 nucleotides) under Erythranthe guttata (spotted monkey flower). RNAcentral's name for it is "long non-coding RNA (EGUT_LNC003229)". Lineage: Eukaryota; Viridiplantae; Streptophyta; Magnoliopsida; Lamiales; Phrymaceae. The record is from RNAcentral.
AUCCACAGUAUUCAGGUGUACAUAAGCUCCUAUCCACACUAUCCAUGUGUGCGUAAGCUCUAGUAAAAUGAGAUCCAUCGUUCUACUUGCACAUUUAGCUUAGCUCCAUAAAAUAAAGAUGAGACGAAGCACAACCUUCCUAAAACCACAAAACAGAAAGUACCAAACAGUAAUAAAGCGAAUUGAUAGCCACAAAAAUGUUUGUUGGAAAUUUCUGCAAACAAGUAGGAAAAGCAGUAAAGGUAUUUAAAAUAGAUUAUAAAAAAACUUGUGAUAUAAAGUUAGAAAAAUAAGGAGGAUGAGGGAGAGAGAGAGAAAGCAAGAUUGAACCAUAUCUGGAACUGACGGGUGUCUCAGAGCUGAAUCCCUACUUUAAUACAACACCUGUGGAUCAACACAGUCCAAAGCAAAGGUCGAAAGUCGAGAAAUAUCAUAUCUUGCACAUAUAUAUAUAUCAUAAGGAGAAUCAAAUCUUAAUCGGCAGAACAGAGAGAAGGUUCUUCAUAUGAGACAAAUAGGUUGAACAUCCAGUGGCAGACGAAAUUUUACCGGACACUCUGUUUAGAAUUGUCAUAUAAACACAAUCAUGACGAGGGGAGAAUAUACUCGUAUUCAAAGCGCUUUCUUCUACAAGGAAUCUUUUUGAGAAAAAAUCAAAUCAGCCGAUUACCGAAACCCUGGCAAGAGAAAACACAAUCCAAACGCAAAACCCAUGAUAAUAAACCACUUGUUAAUGCAUACGAAAACCACACCUAAUACCUCGCCGGAUCAAAAUUACCAAAAUAAAACCAAUUCAGAAUCACAAUCAGACGAACGACCCCGAAUCGAUGACGAUCCAAUUGUCAAACCGGCAAAAUAACCCCAAAUAAAAUCAAAUCAGGACCACAAUCAGACGGUAUCGCGAAAGAGAAGAAAAAACACGCGAUGGAUAAACAUUGAAUUGAAUUGCGCAAGUUUCAUAGCGACGAUGAUACAUAUAAUCUAGAAAAACGGAGACGACAAAUAAACAAAAGCAAUAAUCAAACAAAACUCUAAAAUCCACAGAUAACCAACAAAGACGAGAGACGAAGAAAUGAGUUACGGUUGUAGGAGGGGACGGGUAUUUAUAGAAGAGUCGGUGUUGAGUGGAUGGCUGAGAUUAAUCGGAUCAAAGGUACCAAAUGGUUGGACAACCACCGUCAUUUUUGUUGCAAGUUU